RNAcentral lists this ribosomal RNA (429 nucleotides) under Chloroflexota bacterium. Its description in RNAcentral is "Chloroflexi bacterium partial 16S ribosomal RNA". It matches the Rfam family "Bacterial small subunit ribosomal RNA", at positions 355 to 776 of the family's 1533-position model. Lineage: Bacteria; Bacillati; Chloroflexota. The record is from RNAcentral.
UGGGGAAUAUUGCACAAUGGGCGCAAGCCUGAUGCAGCCAUGCCGCGUGUGUGAAGAAGGCCUUCGGGUUGUAAGGCACUUUCAGCGGGGAGGAAGGCGUUAAGGUUAAUAACCUUGGCGAUUGACGUUACCCGCAGAAGAAGCACCGGCUAACUCCGUGCCAGCAGCCGCGGUAAUACGGAGGGUGCAAGCGUUAAUCGGAAUUACUGGGCGUAAAGCGCACGCAGGCGGUCUGUCAAGUCGGAUGUGAAAUCCCCGGGAUCAACCUGGGAACUGCAAUCGAAAGUGGCAGGCUAGAGUCUUGUAGAGGGGGGUAGAAUUCCAGGUGUAGCGGUGAAAUGCGUCGAGAUCUGGGGGAAUACCGGUGGCGAAGGCAGCCCCCUGGACAAAGACUGACGCUCAGGUGCGAAAGCGUGGGGAGCAAACAGG